GAUGAACGCUGGCGGCGUGCCUAAUACAUGCAAGUCGAGCGAACAGACGAGGAGCUUGCUCCUCUGACGUUAGCGGCGGACGGGUGAGUAACACGUGGAUAACCUACCUAUAAGACUGGGAUAACUUCGGGAAACCGGAGCUAAUACCGGAUAAUAUAUUGAACCGCAUGGUUCAAUAGUGAAAGACGGUUUUGCUGUCACUUAUAGAUGGAUCCGCGCCGCAUUAGCUAGUUGGUAAGGUAACGGCUUACCAAGGCAACGAUGCGUAGCCGACCUGAGAAGGUGAUCGGCCACACUGGAACUGAGACACGGUCCAGACUCCUACGGGAGGCAGCAGUAGGGAAUCUUCCGCAAUGGGCGAAAGCCUGACGGAGCAACGCCGCGUGAGUGAUGAAGGUCUUCGGAUCGUAAAACUCUGUUAUUAGGGAAGAGCAAAUGUGUAAGUAACUAUGCACGUCUUGACGGUACCUAAUCAGAAAGCCACGGCUAACUACGUG
Molecule: ribosomal RNA, 497 nt
Filed under: uncultured bacterium
Lineage: Bacteria
Description: partial 16S ribosomal RNA
Rfam family: Bacterial small subunit ribosomal RNA
Source: RNAcentral